GACGAACGCUGGCGGCGUGCCUAAUACAUGCGAGUAGAACGCUGAAGGAGGAGCUUGCUUCUCUGGAUGAGUUGCGAACGGGUGAGUAACGCGUAGGUAACCUGCCUGGUAGUGGGGGAUAACUAUUGGAAACGAUAGCUAAUACCGCAUAAUAGCAGUUGUUGCAUGAUAACUGUUUGAAAGGUGCAAUAGCACCGCUACCAGAUGGACCUGCGUUGUAUUAGCUAGUUGGUGGGGUAACGGCUCACCAAGGCGACGAUACAUAGCCGACCUGAGAGGGUGAUCGGCCACACUGGGACUGAGACACGGCCCAGACUCCUACGGGAGGCAGCAGUAGGGAAUCUUCGGCAAUGGACGGAAGUCUGACCGAGCAACGCCGCGUGAGUGAAGAAGGUUUUCGGAUCGUAAAGCUCUGUUGUAAGAGAAGAACGAGUGUGAGAGUGGAAAGUUCACACUGUGACGGUAUCUUACCAGAAAGGGACGGCUAACUACGUG
Molecule: ribosomal RNA, 495 nt
Filed under: uncultured bacterium
Lineage: Bacteria
Description: partial 16S ribosomal RNA
Rfam family: Bacterial small subunit ribosomal RNA
Source: RNAcentral